Molecule: RNA transcript, 1215 nt
Organism: Sarcophilus harrisii (Tasmanian devil)
Lineage: Eukaryota; Metazoa; Chordata; Mammalia; Dasyuromorphia; Dasyuridae
Gene: COMTD1
Gene name: catechol-O-methyltransferase domain containing 1
Exons: 7
Source: RefSeq, a predicted model, not a curated record
ACCCCGCUAUCCCAGGGCGCGCCCCACACGCGCGUGGUCCCAUAGGCCGUGGCCUCUCCAAGUCGCCCUCCGCGGAGAAGCGCGAAGUGGCGGGGCGGGCGGAGAGAGCGGAGAAGCGGGUCUCUCUCUCUCUCGGAAAGUAACACCGGCCCGCCUCGGGCGCCCGGGAGCGCCUCGGUGCCUGCAGUUCCCCGGUGCGGCCACGAGAUGGCUCCAAAGGCCGCGGCUUGGACGGCCAGGGCCGAGGCUCCCGCCAGGAGCUCAGCCGCAGCCCCGCCCCCGAUGACUAGCCCCGCCCCGGGGCCGCUCCUGUGCAGGCCCCGCCUCCGUCCCCGCCCCCCGAGUGGCUCCGGGCCUGUAGUUUCCCGUUCUGAGCCAUGUGUCCCGGCCGGGCGUGCAGCCAUGAUCCUGCCGCGGCUCUCGCUGUCGGCCGAGGUGGCCGUGGGCAGCGCCGUGCUGGGGGCGGCCUUCGUGAGUGGCGUCUUCCUCGGGAGAAGGGUGCUCCGGUGGCUGUCCAACUCCCCGCGGCGGCGGCCGACGCGGCGGCUGCUGCCCCCCGAAGACGACCCGCUGUGGCAGUACGUGCUAAGCCGCUCGGUGCGGGAGCACCCGGCGCUGCGCGGCCUUCGCAAGCUCACCCUGGAGCAGCCGCAGGGCCGCACCAUGAUGCCCUGUGAUCAGGCGCAGCUCCUGGCCAACUUGGCCCGGCUCAUCCGAGCGCAGAAGGUUUUGGAUCUCGGGUCCUUCACAGGCUAUGCCGCCUUGAGUUUGGCCCUGGCGUUGCCCGCCACUGGGCGGGUGGUAGCCUGUGAAAUUGAUGCUGCUCCCCCUGAGCUGGGAAGGCCCUUCUGGAGAGAGGCAGGUGAGGAGCACAAGAUUGACCUUCAAGUGAAGCCAGCUAUGAAGACCCUUGCCUGCGUUCCCCUCCACCCGAGGGGGCCGACUCCACGGACAGGAGCAGCACAAUCAGCUUGGCAGAUAAGACAGGGCCCCCCCCUCCCAAGGCAGCCAGGCAAGGCUGCCAUAGUGUGCUAAGCAGGCUCCCGAGAAGCCAUGACCUAGGGGCAGGAAAGGAUCAGCCUCCCUAGGGCAGCCGCAGCCGCAUCUGUGAAGGCACACUGCUCUUGCAUAUGAGCUGCUGGCUGGUGGGGCAGCCGACACCUUUGACAUGGCGGUCAUCGAUGCUGACAAGGAGAACUGUAGCGCCUAUUAUGA